This is a long non-coding RNA of Eurytemora carolleeae, 930 nucleotides long. RefSeq lists it as uncharacterized. Lineage: Eukaryota; Metazoa; Arthropoda; Copepoda; Calanoida; Temoridae. The record is from RefSeq and is a predicted model, not a curated record. The transcript has 3 exons.
AAAAACUACGAAUGGAAUCUAAGCCUGGAUAUUUUCCUUUUCAAAUCCGUCCAAUUAUUUCCUUCAUCUUCCUCGCCUUUCUCCUCUCCUCUAACGGGUUAACCUACAUCCUUCGGAUCUACAAGAGGUCCAUCAGUCCAGGGAAAAUCAACCUCAUCAUCAUCCUCAACUACUACAUCGUAGAGAAAUACAACGUCGUCAUCACUGUCGUGAGUGCGGCGACAAUAUGGACUUCAACAGUGUCCUAUCUCCCCAGAUUCCUGGCGGUCAUACUGAGCUGGUUCAACAGCUACCUUGCCUUCUCAACCAUCUUCUUGUACUUGGCUGUCAGCAGUUUCCGAGUUCUGUUUGUGGUUAAGAAUUUAUAUCUGAACAAGUUGGCCUCUACAGUGGUAUAAAACCAUCCACUGCUGUGGAUAUCCAUGCUGUAAUCCUAGCCACUGCGUUCACACUCAGCCUCAUGGCAAUGGUCCUCUCCUACACCUUCAAUCGGGAAUAUCUGAAACGAAAUCACAGUCAUCUCAUCCUCUCAGAACAUACAAUCAGUCGGAACGUGAUUAGUUUUAAAUCUCUGAUAGUAGUUGGAGUACUGCUCUACCUUCCUAGCCUAGUCUAUCUUAGCUUUCAGUACUUUCUCCCUCAAAACUUCCCGACAGGAAACAUUCUCACAUGCUUCUUCUUAAACUGUGGUCUGGCGUACUUCGCCAAAUCAAAACAAGUGAAAAUAUUUGCUUGCGGGAAAUAAAUAUAGUCUCAGUACUGAAGAACAAUAAAAGUUAAUUGUUGACAAAAAAGAAAGAAAAAAAUUGGCUAAAUAUUUUUCAAUACAAAUUUUCUUGUAGACAAUACAUUGGUCUAAGUACUGAACAAUAAUAACAGCUGAUCAAAAAUAAAAGAAAGGGGGAAAAUAGACUGAAGUUACAUUACUGU